AUGUAUAUAGCCUAAGCAAAUAGUGGGGUUUUGAGAGUGAUAGGCUGAUGGCUACUUGGGCUGGAAAUGCAUCUGUCUACACUCAUUAAAAGCAUAAAUAAUCUUCCUCCCUGUUUUCUUAACCCUAAAGCAGUUCAAAUUCUGAUUUCUGUAAAAACCCUUCAUCAAGUAAACCAUUUUUUCUUUCCUUCUUCAAUAUUUCGACAAUGGAAGCUGAUGAGCAUGUAGCUAGUGUUCAUGGUUGUGAAGAAGAACUUUGACUACUAUAAGAACUGAUGCCCAGGUAUUAUAGCACAAGAUCGAUCAUGUUCAUGGUUGUGGUAACUUUGAUUCUCCUUAUGUUGCCUCCGGUUUUACCACCACUACCUCCUCCACCGCUGUGUCUUCUCUUUGUGCCGGUCAUGAUUAUGUCUGUUCUAGUUAUGUUGGCCUUAUCUCCAUCUUUCCAGGACCAAUUGCUUUGCUGCAUGGCGCCGCUACUAUAGAUAGCGUGAAUAUACUAUAAAUAGAAAGGAUGAAGGAGGUCUAAUGGCCUGAUUAGCUUAGGUACUCUCAAGCUCAUUUCAUCUCCUUUUGUUCAUUUGUAUUUCCUCUAUUCGUAUCCAAGAUCUCCAAGGAAACUUGCGCUACGAGCUAGGAGCCUAUGAGGUUUCUUUUAGUCAUUCUACUCAGAAGCGAUGAGCAAAUGAAAAGGGAAAUUGCCCUAAUCUUGAGAUGGGUUCAGAGGCGGCCAUUGCUUCAAAUUCUUCAUGGGCCAUUUGAUUUCAGAUUUGGACUCUCAGCUUGUUCAUGAAGCAUCGUUAGGACUUUUAUUUAAAGGCAGCAAGUGAUGAUCUUCCUCUAUAUAUAUAAAUAUAUAUAUGUAGUGAGGGCAUCCAUCUUCAAGACUGGUAUAUAUGCUAGCUCCUUGUGCAAGAAAUAAUAGCAAGUUUCUUAGAGUACUAAAAGGUAGUAGAUUUUUUCCAUUCAUGUUGUAAUAGAAGAAAAUGAAUACAAAUAAAGCUUUCAGUCA
Molecule: long non-coding RNA, 1012 nt
Organism: Populus trichocarpa (black cottonwood)
Lineage: Eukaryota; Viridiplantae; Streptophyta; Magnoliopsida; Malpighiales; Salicaceae
Exons: 2
Source: RefSeq, a predicted model, not a curated record